GGGACUUUCCCGGAUUGGAGGCACCCGCUCACUUCGUCCUAAGCAUUGUUGCAGGCUAAUGUCCACCUUCCACUUUAUAAAAUGCCUCAUCUAAUUUGUUCCAGUUCGAUGUGGGACAAUAGAAGACACUUGGGUUGAGGUUCUUGGGAAGCGGAAUGCUCACAGCAGCAGGGGUGGGCUCUCGACACGGACAGUGUUUUUUAUCGCAGGUAGACCGCUUCAACUUGCUAUCCCGAUCAAUGGCAAGGACCUCGGUGUACACCGUCAGCAUCUCGGCCAACGAGUUUGUUUUCGUUUCUGACCCCAACGACGCCAUGAAGUCCCUUGGCCUGCUUUGCUUUCGGCGUGAGGACGCCCAGGCUCUGCUCGCUCAGGUUCAGCUGAGGAAGCUGGCGCUGGGGAAGGGGGCCAGAGUUGUGCCCAUUACUCUUGAUCAGGUUUAUAUGUUGAAGGUUGAAGGAAUUGCAUUUCGGUUUUUGCCUGAUCCUAUUCAAAUAAAGAAUGCAUUACAGCUUUUCUGAUUAGUGACAGUUCAAUCGUAAGCUUAUUGAGGCGCGCGCCCCGGGCGCGGGGUGCUUCGGCCUUGGGGAAAUGCGCCCCGCAUGCGAGGCGGGACGCUGCACGCAGCGAGGCGCGCGCCUCGCGUGCGUCUCGCACCUGUGUUAUGUUUGAUACUUGCAGCAACAGGCCCAUUACAGGCGUAUCUGAGUAGCCUUCCAGAUUUGAGAUCAAAAGUACCUCAACCACAUUAGUUUAUCCCCAGUUAAGGUUGCCAUAAACUGGUGUAUCUGUAAAGCAACAAUUCCAAUUCCAGGAGUGAAGUCAGUUGAACAAGCAGAAGAGAACCUGGGUUCGCUUGGAUUGCGUACGUCUUAGAUCAGAUGAGAUUGAUGAGCUUCAGUAUGCAGCAACAAAUUCGUCUCCUAAGAUGAUACAAAAUAUAUUUCAAACUAGAUGAAUGGAUGCAUUGCUGUAAAUUGCAAAUAUUGUUAUAAUAUCACAGUGAGAUAUAUCGAGAUAUCAUAGAAAGCAUCAAAAGAUAUUGUUAUUAGCUUGACUUGGGUGAUAGUUUCAAUAUUAGUAUGAUGUUGCUCUUA
Asparagus officinalis (garden asparagus) is the source of this 1097-nucleotide RNA transcript. It is a transcript of the gene named protein TIC 22, chloroplastic-like, with no coding region annotated. Lineage: Eukaryota; Viridiplantae; Streptophyta; Magnoliopsida; Asparagales; Asparagaceae. The transcript is spliced from 6 exons. The record is from RefSeq and is a predicted model, not a curated record.